AACGAACGCUGGCGGCAGGCUUAACACAUGCAAGUCGAACGCAUCCUUCGGGGUGAGUGGCAGACGGGUGAGUAACGCGUGGGAACGUGCCCUUCAGUUCGGGAUAACCCAGGGAAACUUGGGCUAAUACCGGAUACGUGCGAGAGCAGAAAGAUUUAUCGCUGAAGGAUCGGCCCGCGUCUGAUUAGCUAGUUGGUGGGGUAAUGGCCCACCAAGGCGACGAUCAGUAGCUGGUCUGAGAGGAUGAUCAGCCACAUUGGGACUGAGACACGGCCCAAACUCCUACGGGAGGCAGCAGUGGGGAAUAUUGGACAGUGGGCGCAAGCUUGAUCCAGCCAGGCCGCGUGAGUGAUGAAGGCCUUAGGGUUGUAAAGCUCUUUCGUCCGGGACGAUAAUGACGGUACCGGAAGAAGAAGCCCCGGCUAACUUCGUGCCAGCCGCCGCAGUAA
RNAcentral lists this ribosomal RNA (449 nucleotides) under uncultured bacterium. Its description in RNAcentral is "partial 16S ribosomal RNA". It matches the Rfam family "Bacterial small subunit ribosomal RNA", at positions 29 to 523 of the family's 1533-position model. The record is from RNAcentral.